Molecule: ribosomal RNA, 253 nt
Filed under: uncultured bacterium
Lineage: Bacteria
Description: partial 16S ribosomal RNA
Rfam family: Bacterial small subunit ribosomal RNA
Source: RNAcentral
GACGACCCUUGCUAACGUUAUUCGGAAUCACUGGGCUUAAAGGGUGCGUAGGCGGUGCAGAAAGUCGGGUGUGAAAUCCCUCAGCUCAACUGAGGAAUUGCGCCCGAAACUACUGUGCUCGAGGAAGAUAGAGGUACGCGGAACUUAGGGUGGUGCGGUGAAAUGCGUUGAUAUCCUCAGGAACACCGGUGGCGAAAGCGGCGUACUGGGUCUUUUCUGUCGCUGAGGCGCGAAAGCUAGGGUAGCGAUCGGG